AGCGUGGAGACAGGUGGUGCAUGGCUGUCGUCAGCUCGUGUCGUGAGAUGUUGGGUUAAGUCCCGCAACGAGCGCAACCCUCACCCCUUGUUGCCAUCAGGUCAUGCUGGGCACUCUAGGGGAACUGCCCCGGUCAACGGGGAGGAAGGCGGGGAUGACGUCAAGUCAUCAUGCCCCUUACGUCCUGGGCUACACACGUGCUACAAUGGCCGGUACAAAGGGAUGCCACACCGCGAGGUAGAGCUAAACCCAAAAAGCCGGUCUAAGUUCAGAUUGGAGUCUGCAACUCGACUCCAUGAAGGAGGAAUCGCUAGUAAUCGCGUAUCAGCACGACGCGGUGAAUACGUUCCCGGGCCUUGCACACACCGCCCGUCACACCACGAAAGCCAGCUGUACUCGAAGUCGCUGAG
Molecule: ribosomal RNA, 410 nt
Filed under: uncultured Methylomirabilota bacterium
Lineage: Bacteria; Methylomirabilota (SeqCode)
Description: bacterial SSU rRNA
Rfam family: Bacterial small subunit ribosomal RNA
Source: RNAcentral